GCAAAAGCUUCGGGAGACGUGGAUUCAGCGUAUCAACAGGGCUGGACGGGGCGGCAGGUUCUCCAAGUUUACGCCUACCACGGGACACCGAGUAUGCGGUGCCCACUUCGAAGGAGGAAAAAAGACUUACAUGAACAGAGUGCCCACAAUCUUCCCGCUGAGACCGCAAAAGGUGGAAAGGAGGCGACCACUCAUAAGGACACAGCCGGAACUUCCCAACAGUCCAACUGUGGCACCCCAGCACGACCCAGAAGUCUCAGGCUCUGCCAUCACUAGUAGCAGCAGCGACAGUGAAGACACCGCACAGCAAAGCACUCUACUCAUGGACCAUGCCUACAGCAGCCAAGAGU
Molecule: long non-coding RNA, 350 nt
Organism: Rhipicephalus microplus (southern cattle tick)
Lineage: Eukaryota; Metazoa; Arthropoda; Arachnida; Ixodida; Ixodidae
Source: RefSeq, a predicted model, not a curated record